Molecule: ribosomal RNA, 702 nt
Filed under: uncultured bacterium
Lineage: Bacteria
Description: bacterial SSU rRNA
Rfam family: Bacterial small subunit ribosomal RNA
Source: RNAcentral
CAGAGGGGGAUAACGUUUGGAAACGAACGCUAAUACCGCAUGAUAUUAUUGAGCUGCAUGGCUUGAUAAUCAAAGGAGCAAUCCGCUGAAAGAUGGGCUCGCGUCCGAUUAGGUAGUUGGCGGGGCAACGGCCCACCAAGCCGACGAUCGGUAGCCGGACUGAGAGGUUGAACGGCCACAUUGGGACUGAGACACGGCCCAGACUCCUACGGGAGGCAGCAGUGAGGGAUAUUGGUCAAUGGGGGAAACCCUGAACCAGCAACGCCGCGUGAGGGAAGACGGUUUUCGGAUUGUAAACCUCUGUCCUCUGUGAAGAUAAUGACGGUAGCAGAGGAGGAAGCUCCGGCUAACUACGUGCCAGCAGCCGCGGUAAUACGUAGGGAGCAAGCGUUGUCCGGAUUUACUGGGUGUAAAGGGUGCGUAGGCGGCUUUGCAAGUCAGAAGUGAAAUCCAUGGGCUUAACCCAUGAACUGCUUUUGAAACUGCAGAGCUUGAGUGGAGUAGAGGUAGGCGGAAUUCCCGGUGUAGCGGUGAAAUGCGUAGAGAUCGGGAGGAACACCAGUGGCGAAGGCGGCCUGCUGGGCUCUAACUGACGCUGAGGCACAAAAGCGUGGGUAGCAAACAGGAUUAGAUACCCUGGUAGUCCACGCUGUAAACGAUGAUUACUAGGUGUGGGUGGACUGACCCCAUCCGUGCCGGAGU